UAUUAACUUUUAUCCAUUUGUACGGUUAAAAACCGGCAUGGUUGACGGAGUAACCAAAUAAUGGCAUGUAGCAUAUCACACGUCUCAUGCUGACGUACAAAGAUCAAUUUUUAAAUGUAGAAAUAGAUGAAAUUUUUAAUA
Gossypium hirsutum (cotton) is the source of this 141-nucleotide non-coding RNA. Lineage: Eukaryota; Viridiplantae; Streptophyta; Magnoliopsida; Malvales; Malvaceae. The record is from Rfam.